CAGUAUCUCAUUUAUUAUGUUCUUAGCACUGAAUUUGUCAAGCAUGCACAGUGUACUGUUUUGCUUUUCCUCAUUUUUUCCGUCUGGGUAUUGCUUCUACCCCAUGAUUUUGAAAGAGAGGAAGCUGCUGCAGACUUGAGCUCUCCAGAGAUGCUUAGAAACUUUUGUUUUCCAAAUCAGUUUAGACUGACAGUAUUCUGGAAUGCUUGCAGAGAGUCUCACUGUGAGAGUGCAGUUUCCUCUACUGAUCUCUCCAGAGCACUGAAGGACAGUUCACAUUACUGCACUGUGUCCCACUUAGUCUUCGGCCUGUCUGGUUUAGGCACCUAAAGGCUUCACAUUGUAAGCACUUUAGUCUGUUCCCACCCUCAUUUGGUAUAUACCUGUGUGGCAUGUGCUAAUGCCAUCAGAUCCCUAAAACAGCUGUCUCUCAGUCUAGUCUCUCCAGGCUUUCCUCUAAUAGAAACUGGAAGCAGGGAGGAAGAUACAAGCUGAAAUGAAAGAGCUUCCUCUAUUGUCUGUGUCAGAGGUGAAGUCAUUUUACACAGCUGGCAGCUAAGGUAUCUUUCUGCAAGCAGGUUUCUGAUUGCAGGUGAAACUUAAUGGGUCUAGCCAAAGGAAUCUGCAGUGCUGCUGAAACCAGAGCCUUCUCUCUGAGGCAAGCACUCUGAAGGUCAGAAAUUCCGCUUAUGGGAGCAACAGUCUUCAGCUUCUCCAUUCAGGGUAAUUGUUUUGGAUCAGAACAGUUCUCCUACGUGAUUAGAAUGGAUAGCGAAUACAUCUUAAUACAUCAGCUGCUUACUGCUGCUGGUACAGUAUUCAGCCUGUGAACUGCAGCCCUUUUUUGGUCACAAAGACUUUUAAUGGUCAGACUUGUUUGAUCUGCAGCAGCAAGAACUGACAAAAUUGGAGUGCUUUACUUUAUAGUGCAGUUUAUACUGUUUUUAGCCACUGUUUUCUAUCAGGUAUACUGCAAAGGUGAUCUGUUUUAUAUCAGUUUUACUGCAAAGGUGAUAUGUUUUCAGAAUAGAACAGCCUUAGUAAGCUGGCUGUUUGUUUUUCUGUAUGCACACUUUCAGAACCAAAAUAAUUUUUUUUUUUUUUGCUCUUUUGCAUUACACAGUUUUCAGUGUUACAGACAAAAUGACUGUAAUUCUGUGAACUGCUGUUACUGCUCAGACUCAUCUAAUUUUUCCUUGCUGGAGUGUGGAGCGCUGUGUUGCAGCCCACGUGGUGUAUGUUUUUCCUUGCUCAUUAAAUUUAACAAGGGUAAUUUCUUGUUUUCUCUUCUCUUAGUGCUUUUGUGAUCUCACGUUGAACUGAUUUGACUGAUAAAGGGGAUUAAUUGCUGUGCAGAAAGUUAAUGAGAAAAAAGCAGUGUUCUUUCAGAGAUGCAACUGCACCAAUAUUUUCCCUGUCAGCAUUCAACGAGAGUAUAGAAAAGUUAGCAUUACUGAGAUAGCUGUUGUUUAAUUAAACCACGCUUCUGUGGUCCAAAAAAGGUCCCUGGGAAGUAAUUGUGUUUUGGAUCAGGCUUUUGAUGGGCACAGCGAGUUCAUGUUUAACUGUUGUGAUUAGCACUGCCCAGGUGCAGGAUGUGUAAAGAUGGUCCUUAUCUCUGUUGAACACAGGGCAAUUCUAUGGGCAUUCUUACAGUUUUGUGUACCAUGUGUUUCUCUUCCAUCCUUGAUCAAGGAGGGAAAUUUUGCCUGUAAGUGUUAAUUUGGUUUAAUGAUACUAAUAAAAAUGUCUAAGCUUAAUGUGCUGCCAUGUGAUUAUUCUUCUGUUUUUUACUUGUUACUGUUAUUUCCUAUCGUCAAGUUAUGUAUACAUGUA
Molecule: long non-coding RNA, 1836 nt
Filed under: Gallus gallus (chicken)
Lineage: Eukaryota; Metazoa; Chordata; Aves; Galliformes; Phasianidae
Source: RNAcentral